CUAAAAAAAGGGCUAAGAACGGCAGACCCCUUUCUGGACAAAAAUUCAAUCGCCGCCCACCCCAAGAACGAAGAUCUGAUUCUCUCGAAAAUUGAGAGCAUGUUUGGACACACAUAAGAACACAAAGAUUACUCUCUAUUUCGCCUUGAGGGAUUUCUCAUGGGUUAAGUCAAAAUUUCAGUUUCUUUUGCAAGACCUUGAGCAUUCUUCAUAUAAUUCCCCUUUGUUGAUUGAACGGGCUACCAAACGACCCUUUUGUUGAUUGAAGUUGUCAUCGUAAAAAUCCAGUAAAGUUAAAUAUUUUGUUCUUUACAUGGAGUUUACUUGGUAACUUGAUUGACUACACCAUUGCAUCCUUUUUGAUGGUACUUCAACGGUGAUUAUUAUUCAUCUUAUGAGCUUUGCGGUAGGAUUGAGAGUUUUCGAGUUUUUCGGUUGCCGAUUCAGGUUCUGUUCGUGGUCGUCGGUUCCUGAUCUUGACCGCUGGUGCCGGUCCUGAAUUUUCGUGGGACCUUAGAAAAGUCAUUAGCUUUUGACGGGUGGUCUCUGAAUCAAUUCAGGUCAUCUCCCACACUUUCUUAUUGCUCAUCCAUUUAUUGUAGAAGUUGAUUACUCUGAUAUAAUGUGAAACGUGUUUACUAUGUAUUGUCAGGUAGUUAGUAAUUAAAUCCUUCUUAUAUUAGAGUAUUUUAACUUAUUACAGUAAGUUAUUUAUUUCAUUAUUUAUGUUACCACAUUAGGUCUGCUGUAAAAAAUUAAAUCUUUGUUUUAGAUAUCAAUCUAAAUUUUAUAACAUAAUUAUAUACUAUGGUAGCGUUAUGGUAGUGUUAGCAAUUUUCUUGGCAUGUUUAAAGUGUAAUUGCCAAUACUAUAAAAGUUGAACCAUAUUGGAUUUGGCGUCAAUUUAUAAUGAGAAUAAGAAGCUUUGUUCCGUGACACCAAGUGAACGUAGAUGAGAUUUCCAUUAAUACAUACUAUAAUAUAUUGGACAAAAUAGGCCCCACUACCAUUGAUUUAGAGAUAACACAAUUUAUAAAUAUCCGUAGCUUGCUUUAGGCACAAUUAAAUAAAUCAUCGUGACUAUGGGUACGGUUCCCAUGGUCACGAUACGUAAUCCCCAAUUCGGGUGUGCAUUUCAUGUGACCCGAUCAUAACUUCGAACAAUAAUUAAAAUAAACAUGUCGCGAAUCGCGGGUGCAUUUCAGGUAGCGUGGUUUGCGGUGUGUUCCAAAACUAUAAGUGUACAAUAAUAGGCCAAUUAUUAAUAGUUUAAGCGACCGUGCUCGAACCACGGAACCCGGGAAUGCCUAACACCUUCUCACGGGUUAACAGAAUUCCUUAUCUAGAAUUUCUAGUUUCGCAGACUUUUAAAUAAAGUCAAAAUUUCCUCAAUUUAGGAUUUAAAAUAAACUGGUGAUUUGGGACACCAAAUAAACUAUCCCAAGUGGCGACUCUGAUAAAUAAAUAAUCCCAUUUCGAAUAAUGUCGCUUUAAUUGGAAAAACUCCCCUAUACCCCAUCGGGUGUGUAAAAAGGAGGUGUGACAACUACCAGUCGAGUACUCAGAUGGCUCCAUAUGAGGCUUUGUAUGGGAGGUGGUGUAGAUCUCUAGUUGGUUGGUUCGAGCUCAGUAAGGCUAGGCUACUGGGGACUGAUUUGGUGCAGGAUGCUUUGGAGAAUGUGAAGUUGAUUUAGGAGAGGCUUCGUACAGUGCAGUCGAGGCAAAAGAGUUAUGCUAAUAGGAAGGUUCGAGAUGUGUCCUACAUGGUUGGCGAGAAGGUUCUAUUGAAGGUUUCACCCAUGAAGGGUGUUAUGAAAUUUGGGAAGAAAGGGAAAUUGAGUCCGCGGUUCAUUGGGCCUUUUGAGGUGCUUUGGAGAAUUGGGGAGGUGGCUUAUGAGCUUGCUUUGCCACCCAGCUUGUCGAGUGUGCAUCCGGUAUUUCAUGUUUCUAUGCUUCAAAAGUAUAUUGGGAAUCCGUCUCAUGUUUUGGAUUUCAGCACGGUUCAGUUGGAUGAUGAUUUGACCUAUGAUGUGGAGCCAAUAACUAUUUUGGGCCGUCAGGUUCGAAAGUUGAGGUCAAAGGAUAUAGCUUCAGUGAAGUGCAGGGGGGAGGUCUGCUCAUGGAGGAGCCUACCUAGGAGACCGAACGGGAGAUGCGGAGCAGAUAUCCUCACCUGUUUAAAGCUUCAGGUAUGUUUCUUGACUUGUUCGAGGACGAACAUUUGUUUAAGUUGGGGAGGAUGUGACGACCCAGCUAGUCGUCUCAAGAGUUACCACUCUGUUUCCCCCAUUUUUGCUUCUUUAUGCUUCGUUAUCCAUGUUUUGUGGUAUCGGGCUGGUCAGAUCGUGUCCGAAAUGAUUUUGGUAAGGUAUGAGACACUUAGUCUUUUUUAAGGAAGUUUAAGUUGGAAAAGUCAACCGGAUGUUGACUUAUUUGUUAGAGGGCUCGGAUGUGAGUUCCGAUGGUUCGGUUAGCUUCAGGAGGUGAUUUAUGGCUUAGGAGCAUGAUCGGAAUGAGUUUUGGAGGUUCGGAGUAGUAUUAGGCUUGAAUUGGCGAAGUUGAUAUUUUGGCGAUUUCCGGUUGGUAGGCGAGAUUUUGAAAUAGGGGUUGGAAUGGAAUUCCGAGAGUUGCAGUAGCUUUUUUGGGUCAUUUGGGAUGUGUGUGUAAAUUUUCAGGUCAUUCAGACGUGGUUUGGUUAGGUUUUUGAUCGAAAGUGGAAUUUGGAAGAUUUUAGAAAAUUUGGCUUGAAUCCGAUGUGUUUUGGGUGAUUUGAUGUUGUUUCAGGUGUUUUGAUGAUUGGAACAAAUUUGAAUAAGGUAUUGGGUUAUGUUUGUGCUUUUGGUUGAGGUCCUGGGGGCCUCGGGGUGAUUUUGGAUGGUUAAUGGAGAAGUUGGAAUUUUGUUGCAACAACUGAUUCUAGUAUUUUCGCACCUGCGGAUUGCGGACCGCAGGUGCGGCGCCACAUAAGCGGAGAGUUGGCCGCAAAAGCGAAAAUUGGUCAGGUGAGCUGAGACCGCAGAAGCGGUAAGGAGACCGCAUCUGCGAUGUCGCAGAUGCGGAAAUAUGGUCGCAAAUGCAGUUUAGGUUGGAUAAGUGAUUUCCGCAGAAGCGGAGGAUUUAAGCGCAAAUGUGGCACCGCAGAAGCGGGUUUUGGACUGCAGAUGCGGGUGUCCUUGGGAAGAAUGUAUAUAAGUCUUCCUUCACAAUUUUUGAAGGUUUUCACCAUUUUUAAACCCGGAUUCGGGAGCUUUGGGCGAUUUUGAAGAGAGAAAUCAAGGAGACUUCGUUAAGGUAAGGAUUUUGGACCUAAAACACAUUUCUAUGGUAGUAUUUCAUGGAUUAAGGCUGUAAUUAAAGGAAUUAAAGGGCUAAAAAGGGAGAUUAGGGCUUGAGCUUAAGAGGCUUUUAAAUGAGGAUUUGAAGGGUCAUUUGGACUCCAAUUUUAGUAUUCUUGAUAUGUAUACACUUGUGGGAGGAUAAGGAUUCCGUUGAUGCAAAAAUUAUUGAAUUCCGAGUCAUGGGCCCGAGGGUCAAGUUUUGGUAAUUUUCGGAUUUGUGCCAAUUAUUGAUUGUUUUCGCUUGGGCUUCGUUCCCUUAGCAUAUUUUGAUGCCCCCGUUCUGGGUUUGGAUAGAUUCGACGUGUGUGGAGGCCAAUUCGAGGGGCAAAGGGAUCUCGAGCUAGAGAUUUAGCCGAUUCGAGGUGAGUAAUGAUUGUAAAUGAUGUUCUCAGAGUUUGAAACCCCAGAUUUGCAUAUCAUAAUGCUAUAUUGAGGUAUGACACACGCUUGAUGACGAGCGUGGGGUCGUGCACUAUUGGGGAUUGUGACUUGGUCCGUCCCGGUUGAUGAUUUUACCGCGCAUUUGACUGAAAACUACUUGCUAUCAUCAUUAUUUGGGCUGAAUGCCAUAUUUGGGCUUCGUGCCAAAUAUUUGAAUCCUUCGGGGAUUUUCAUUAUUAUUUCCUCAAUGCUUUGACUUAUUUCUUGAACUCAGUCAUGUUAAUUUCAGUGUUUUACUACUCAUCCAUGUUUACUCAAUUUUAAGACUUAAAUGAUAUUUUAAAUAAUGUUUAGGCUGAGAAACACUGUUUUACCAUUGCCUGAGAGGCUUGUGAUGAUUUUUGACUGAGUAAGGCCGAGGGCCUACGUUGUGAGGAAGCACUGAUACUGAUUAUAUGCCGACGGCUUGAGAUAUGUACGCCACAAGGUGGCUUGAUUGAUAUGAGGCCGAGGGCCUAGAUUUGAUGCCACGAGAUGGCUUGUUAUUACGCUUGGGCCGUAAGGGGUCCCUCAAGGAGUCUGCACACCCCCAGUGAGCGCAGGUACCCAUUGUGAUGUGAGAUUGAGCCAGAUGGGCUGGUAUUGUUCUGAGAUGUUGCCCGAGGGGCGGAUACUAUGCCUGAGGGGGGAACUUCUAUUUGUUUACUUUACCUUAAUUACAUGUCAAUUACUUGUUCACUUGUUGGAAGAGGAUUUUACUUGAUUUUUCAAUGGUUUACUGCUUUUAAAUGAUUUUUUUGCUUCAAUAUAGAAUGUCGUGUGCCUUACAUGUUUUCUUACUCAGUCAUUAUUUACAUUUGUUACUUACUGAGUUGGAGUACUCACUUUACUCCCUGCACCCUGUGUGCAGAUUCAGGCAUUAUUGGUUCUGCUCCCGAGUGCUAAUUCCUCCAGCUUCAGGCGAUGUUCGGAGAUUACGAGGUAGCUAUUGACGUCCGCAACCCCCGUGUCUCUACUCCUUUAUUGAUCCUGUUCUUUUUUCAGACAUUUGUACUAGGUUAUGAUUUUAGCAGAAUUGUAUAUGACUUAUAAAUGCUCAUGACUUGUGACACCCCGGUUAGGGCUGUGUCGGGUUGUAUUUCCGCUACUUAUUAUCUCUAAAUCAUGUUUUAGAUUGCUUUCAUGUUGUUUAACUGCUUUAACAAGUGAAUUGGGUUUAGUUGGCUAGCCUUGUCUUCAUGAGAGGCGCCAUCACGACCAGGUUCGGGGUUAGGGUCGUGAAAAGGUUUGGAAGGGUUCGGG
Molecule: long non-coding RNA, 5021 nt
Filed under: Nicotiana tabacum (common tobacco)
Lineage: Eukaryota; Viridiplantae; Streptophyta; Magnoliopsida; Solanales; Solanaceae
Description: long non-coding RNA (NTAB_LNC004983)
Source: RNAcentral